GACGAACGCUGGCGGCGUGCUUAACACAUGCAAGUCGAACGGAAAGGCCUCUUUCGGGGGGUACUCGAGUGGCGAACGGGUGAGUAACACGUGAGUAACCUGCCCUUGACUUUGUGAUAACUUCAGGAAACUGUGGCUAAUACCGGAUAUGAGCUCCUGCUGCAUGGUGGGGGUUGGAAAGUUUCGGCGGUUGGGGAUGGACUCGCGGCGUAUCAGCUUGUUGGUGGGGGAGUGGCUUACCAAGGCUUUGACGGGUAGCCGGCCUGAGAGGGUGACCGGCCACAUUGGGACUGAGAUCCGGCCCAGACUCCUACGGGAGGCAGCAGUGGGGAAUAUUGCACAAUGGGUGGGAGCCUGAUGCAGCAACGCCGUGUGCGGGAUGACGGCCUUCGGGUUGGAAACCGCUUUCGCUCAUGACGAAGCUUUGUGUGACGGUAGUGGGUAAAGAAGCACCGGCUAACUACGUG
RNAcentral lists this ribosomal RNA (467 nucleotides) under uncultured bacterium. Its description in RNAcentral is "partial 16S ribosomal RNA". It matches the Rfam family "Bacterial small subunit ribosomal RNA", at positions 28 to 507 of the family's 1533-position model. The record is from RNAcentral.